Molecule: ribosomal RNA, 451 nt
Filed under: uncultured bacterium
Lineage: Bacteria
Description: partial 16S ribosomal RNA
Rfam family: Bacterial small subunit ribosomal RNA
Source: RNAcentral
AACGAACGCUGGCGGCAGGCUUAACACAUGCAAGUCGAACGGUUGCAGCAAUGCAGCAGUGGCAGACGGGUGAGUAACACGUGGGAACCUUCCUAGGGGUACGGAACAACUCAGGGAAACUUGAGAUAAUACCGUAUACGUCCGUGAGGAGAAAGAUUUAUCGCCCUUAGACGGGCCCGCGUCUGAUUAGCUAGUUGGUGGGGUAACGGCCUACCAAGGCGACGAUCCGUAGCUAAUCUUAGAGGAUGAUCAGCCACACUGGGACUGAGACACGGCCCAGACUCCUACGGGAGGCAGCAGUGGGGAAUCUUGGACAAUGGGCGCAAGCCUGAUCCAGCCAUGCCGCGUGAGUGAAGAAGGUCUUCGGAUUGCAAAGCUCUUUUGCCAGGGACGAUAAUGACGGUACCUGGAGAAUAAGCCCCGGCAAACUUCGUGCCAGCAGCCGCAGUAA